AACAUGCAAGUCGAGCGAAUCAAUGGGAGCUUGCUCCCUGAGAUUCGCGGCGGACGGGUGAGUAACACGUGGGCAACCUGCCUAUAAGACUGGGAUAACUUCGGGAAACCGGAGCUAAUACCGGAUACGUUCUUUUCUCGCAUGAGAGAAGAUGGAAAGACGGUUUACGCUGUCACUUAUAGAUGGGCCCGCGGCGCAUUAGCUAGUUGGUGAGGUAAUGGCUCACCAAGGCGACGAUGCGUAGCCGACCUGAGAGGGUGAUCGGCCACACUGGGACUGAGACACGGCCCAGACUCCUACGGGAGGCAGCAGUAGGGAAUCUUCCGCAAUGGACGAAAGUCUGACGGAGCAACGCCGCGUGAACGAAGAAGGCCUUCGGGUCGUAAAGUUCUGUUGUUAGGGAAGAACAAGUACCAGAGUAACUGCUGGUACCUUGACGGUACCUAACCAGAAAGCCACGGCUAACUACGUGCCAGCAGCCGCGGUAAUACGUAGGUGGCAAGCGUUGUCCGGAAUUAUUGGGCGUAAAGCGCGCGCAGGUGGUUCCUUAAGUCUGAUGUGAAAGCCCACGGCUCAACCGUGGAGGGUCAUUGGAAACUGGGGAACUUGAGUGCAGAAGAGGAAAGUGGAAUUCCAAGUGUAGCGGUGAAAUGCGUAAAGAUUUGGAGGAACACCCGUGGCGAAGGCCAAUUUUCUGUCUGGAACUGACACUG
Molecule: ribosomal RNA, 713 nt
Filed under: Bacillus sp. (in: firmicutes)
Lineage: Bacteria; Bacillati; Bacillota; Bacilli; Caryophanales; Bacillaceae
Description: bacterial SSU rRNA
Rfam family: Bacterial small subunit ribosomal RNA
Source: RNAcentral